GCCUGCCAGUGACUCUGUUCAACGGCCGCGGUAUCCUAACCGUGCGAAGGUAGCGUAAUCACUUGUUCUUUAAAUAAGGACUAGUAUGAAUGGCAUCACGAAGGUUAUACUGUCUCCCUUUCCAAAUCAAUGAAACUAAUCUUCCCGUGAAGAAGCGGGAAUAAAUUUAUAAGACGAGAAGACCCUAUGGAGCUUUAAACCUCUCAACAACUAUCUUUAUAUACACAUACUCCAGAGCAAUUAAAUUAACCCUGAUAACAUGUCUAUGAGGUUUUCGGUUGGGGUGACCGCGGAGCAAAACUCAUCCUCCGCAAUGAAUUAGAACCAUACUUCUAAACAAAGAAUAACAAUUCUAUGUAUCAAAAAACUGACAUAAUUGACCCAACAUUUUGAUCAAUGAACCAAGUUACCCUAGGGAUAACAGCGCAAUCCAUCUCAAGAGCUCAUAUCAACAGAUGGGUUUACGACCUCGAUGUUGGAUCAGGGUAUCCCAGUGGUGCAGCCGCUACUAAAGGUUCGUUUGUUCAACGAUUAAAACCCUACGUGA
Molecule: ribosomal RNA, 547 nt
Filed under: Phyllomedusa boliviana (red-rimmed leaf frog)
Lineage: Eukaryota; Metazoa; Chordata; Amphibia; Anura; Hylidae
Description: partial 16S ribosomal RNA
Rfam family: Bacterial large subunit ribosomal RNA
Source: RNAcentral